UCGAACGGAAAGGCCUCUUCGGAGGUACUCGAGUGGCGAACGGGUGAGUAACACGUGGGUAAUCUGCCCUGCACUUCGGGAUAAGCCUGGGAAACUGGGUCUAAUACCGAAUAUGACCACGAGACGCAUGUCUUGUGGUGGAAAGCUUUUGCGGUGUGGGAUGGGCCCGCGGCCUAUCAGCUUGUUGGUGGGGUGACGGCCUACCAAGGCGACGACGGGUAGCCGGCCUGAGAGGGUGUCCGGCCACACUGGGACUGAGAUACGGCCCAGACUCCUACGGGAGGCAGCAGUGGGGAAUAUUGCACAAUGGGCGCAAGCCUGAUGCAGCGACGCCGCGUGGGGGAUGACGGCCUUCGGGUUGUAAACCUCUUUCAGCAGGGACGAAGCGCAAGUGACGGUACCUGCAGAAG
RNAcentral lists this ribosomal RNA (410 nucleotides) under bacterium Ellin5036. RNAcentral describes it as "bacterial SSU rRNA". It matches the Rfam family "Bacterial small subunit ribosomal RNA", at positions 62 to 487 of the family's 1533-position model. Lineage: Bacteria; Bacillati; Actinomycetota; Actinomycetes; Mycobacteriales; Mycobacteriaceae. The record is from RNAcentral.